This 408-nucleotide ribosomal RNA is filed under the name uncultured bacterium. RNAcentral's name for it is "partial 16S ribosomal RNA". It matches the Rfam family "Bacterial small subunit ribosomal RNA", at positions 28 to 526 of the family's 1533-position model. The record is from RNAcentral.
GACGAACGCUGGCGGCGUGCUUAACACAUGCAAGUCGAACGAAGUGGCGAACGGGUGAGUAACGCGUAAUCAACAUGCCCUUCAGAGGGGGACAACAGUUGGAAACGACUGCUAAUACCGCAUACUGAAGGAGGGGCUUGCGUCUGCUUAGCUAGUUGGAGGGGUAACGGCCCACCAAGGCGAUGAUAAGUAAGCGGGCUGAGAGGAGGAAUGGCAACAGUGGGACUGAGACACGGCCAAGACGCAUACGGGAGGCAGCAGUGGGGAAUCUGCCGAAAUGGAAGAAAGUCUGACGGAGAAACGCCGCGUGAGUGAUGACGGCCUUCGGGUUGUAAAGCUCUGUUAAUCGGGACGCGGUACCGGAAUAGAAAGCCACGGCUAACUACGUGCCAGCAGCCGCGGUAAUAC